CACGCUGUAAACGAUGAGUGCUAGGUGUUGGGUAGCGAUAUUCAGUGCCGCAGCAAACGCAAUAAGCACUCCGCCUGGGGAGUACGGUCGCAAGACUAAAACUCAAAGGAAUUGACGGGGACCCGCACAAGCAGCGGAGCAUGUGGUUUAAUUCGAAGCAACGCGAAGAACCUUACCAAGGCUUGACAUCCCCUUGACAGGUGCAGAGAUGUACCCUCUCCUUCGGGAGCAAGGGUGACAGGUGG
This 245-nucleotide ribosomal RNA is filed under the name uncultured Sedimentibacter sp. RNAcentral's name for it is "partial 16S ribosomal RNA". It matches the Rfam family "Bacterial small subunit ribosomal RNA", at positions 796 to 1041 of the family's 1533-position model. The record is from RNAcentral. Lineage: Bacteria; Bacillati; Bacillota; Tissierellia.